This is an RNA transcript of Homo sapiens (human), 17958 nucleotides long. It is a transcript of the gene named twist family bHLH transcription factor 2, with no coding region annotated. The transcript is spliced from 2 exons. Lineage: Eukaryota; Metazoa; Chordata; Mammalia; Primates; Hominidae. The record is from RefSeq and is marked reviewed.
GCACAAGCCGGCCUUGAAAUCAGAGCCUUUCCAGCAACUCCGAGAGCGUGUGCUCGGCGACCGCGGGCUUGGCCAGCGGCGCGCGCUCGGCGCCCCGGCGCCCCCAGCCCCACGCGCGCCGGGCGGGCGCCAUGGAGGAGGGCUCCAGCUCGCCCGUGUCCCCCGUGGACAGCCUGGGCACCAGCGAGGAGGAGCUCGAGAGGCAGCCCAAGCGCUUCGGCCGGAAGCGGCGCUACAGCAAGAAGUCGAGCGAAGAUGGCAGCCCGACCCCGGGCAAGCGCGGCAAGAAGGGCAGCCCCAGCGCGCAGUCCUUCGAGGAGCUGCAGAGCCAGCGCAUCCUGGCCAACGUGCGCGAGCGCCAGCGCACCCAGUCGCUCAACGAGGCCUUCGCGGCGCUGCGCAAGAUCAUCCCCACGCUGCCCUCUGACAAGCUGAGCAAGAUCCAGACGCUCAAGCUGGCCGCCAGGUACAUAGACUUCCUCUACCAGGUCCUGCAGAGCGACGAGAUGGACAAUAAGAUGACCAGCUGCAGCUACGUGGCCCACGAGCGCCUCAGCUACGCCUUCUCCGUGUGGCGCAUGGAGGGCGCGUGGUCCAUGUCCGCCUCCCACUAGCGCCGCGCCACCCACCUCCGGACCGGCGCGCCAGGGUAGGUGCUGCGCGCGCGACGGGCGCCCUCCGCUGCGGGGGGCGGGCGGCAGGGGCGCAGGGGCAUUGGGGCCUGCUCGUGUCUCCUCGGCGAGGCCCCGCGGGCCGCGGGGGCUUGGAUGCCGUGCGCUUUUCCUCUUAGCAAGGAAGGCGGGCGGGCGGGACGCUCACAGUCCCAGGGACACCCCUGAGUGCAGACUUCCACGCGAGGGUGUCAGUUGGGAACCGGCGGACCGGUGACUCCCCCGGCGGGUUCUGAAGAUACUUAGACAGAUGGUCGCAGUUUUCAUUCUCGGUGGUGUGUGGGUGUCCGUGGUUGGCGGUGGAAGGAGCGAGCAUCAGAAAAACCUCCUGGGGCCGGCUGGGGACUGGGAUAUGAGGACCAGCUGCCCUUUGCGUCCGCCGCAGCGCAGGCCGCCCGCGAAGCUGCCCGAGCCGGGUGUUGCCGGGCGAAUGGCUUCGCUUUCUUCCUGGGCAAGGGUAGAGCGCGUCCGUCGGGCGGACACUCAGAUCUACCCAGCUGCUCGCGCCUGGGGUCCCCGGCCGUCGGCGCCCUGGCCUGCCCAGUGGGCGUAGAGGUGCGGGCCUGCGGCUCCAGGGUUUGCCUGGGGAGGACGGGAGGAAACUGCCCUGCGCUUCGGGGCCAGAGCAGCCACAGGGCCGGGUGUGCCCGAGAAGGGCCCUGGGCCGAGAGCGCAGAGCCUGGAGCGCUGAGGCAGGCGGGUCCGACGCAGCCGCGCGGAGCCCCAGGGCGCCCGCAGGCAGGUGGAGCUGACCUAGGAACUGGGAGCCCUGAGUCCCAACCUUGACCCUGGAGUACCCGGGAGGGGCCCCGCCCAUCCAGCCCCGCAGGGAUGGGCGAGGGGUCCAGGCUGGGAAACGGGUCUGGGGGACAGGGAGGCUGUGCGCGCCGGGCCCUGCGCGAGGAGAAGGCUCGGGGGACACAGCUGCCAGGAGCACUCCAAGUUCUGGUUUCCUCUGGAAGAGCGAUUAGGGCGUCCUGCACCGGGUCCUUUUCACCAGACACCUUCCAAGUCCCUUUAGACAAGCUCGAGCCACGGAGGCGCCGUCCUUAGGCUCUGUGAGCAGGCGAGCCCCUCUCUCAUCCGCCAUCCAGGGCCAUGGAGGGGCACAGAGUUCUUUUUGCUGGGGCCGAGUUAAAAAUCCUUCCCCCUUAGUAUGUUUUAGUUCCUCGCACAUCUUGCGAUGUUUUUAUAAAAGACUCUACUUCACACAGAAGGAAUUUAGAUUAAUCAAGAGCACCCGGCCGCCUAUUCUCCCAAACAUAUCUAUUUCUUUUUUUAUGUGGUUCUAUAAUAUCUGCGAAUGUUGUUGCUGAGGCCACGAAAAGCUGAUCCAGCACAGCAUUUCUAAGAAGCAUUAAUUAUAUGCAUCAGCAAAGAAUCUCUAGACAUUUCAGUACAUUGUAAGUGAUUUUAAUGUUUGAUGUGGGAUGUUUUCACGUAUGUGAAGAAAACUGUCAAGACUAACAGCAACAGCAGCACAAAGCCUAAAUUGUCCUCUGAAAGGAAGAGAAACGCAAGAGAUGGUGGAGUGCGGGUGCUGCCGAUAUCUAUCCUGCCUUUCUUCUUUGGCCUGGUAUUUAAAAGCACAAUUAGACAAUAAAUCAGGUGUCUUUGUCCAGUCAGUUGGAUUCAUCUAAUAGAAAAAUCUCAAAAGGAUUUUUUUAGUAUUCUCAUUAAAUGCCUGAGUCUUCGGAGCAGGGUCCCAGACACCUGGCUUGGAGGGUGGGGGAAGGUGACCAUUACUUAUCAGACAUUUGUCCUGUUCCCUGCUGUGUGGUUAAAGAAAACAUCUUCUCUAACUUCUGCAUAGUGUGCACAGAUUUUCAGUAGAUUUCCUCACUCAACAAACUUUUUUUUUUCUGAGAACUUUUAGCUACUUUGAAGAAAUUGCAUGACCCCUUCACCAUCUAAUAUAUGUGAGCCUUUUCCUCCCUCCUGAAAAUUUACUUCUCAUAGGUGUUUGUUAACUGCUGUAUUCAGGAUGCUAGAAAAUCAGUUCUUCGUGGAGAAGAACAGAAAUGCAGAAUCCCAAUGGAGCUUUUGCUUGCCUAGAAGAAGUAGAAUGAAAGGCUGAGCUCCCUGGAAUAUAAGCAAUGUUUGGUUACAAAAUACCCAUCAAUAAGAUCUGAUGUAGGGAUUUGACCUGUUAAUGUGGGUCUUUCCCCUUAAAUAUCAGCAGUCCUUUCGGCCUUGCAUCAGGGAAGUCUUGCUACUCAUCUUGCUGGAGAGGGAAUUCCUCAGACUUCAGUGGCUCUUUGAGGCCAUUUGAGAUAGAAUACUUCACUGAGGUUUCCUGAAACUCAUAUUUUCAUACAGAUCUUGAGCUGAACCAUGUUCUUGUCAUCCUUGCUUCACUCUGUUCUGGGUAGACGGCACAGAUGCCGGAUUCCUUUUGCCUGGCAAAAAAAUUUAAAAAAAGAAAAAAAAACACCACACACAUAAAGUAAACUCUUUCUGAGCAGAGCACUAUAACUCAUAACUUUAGUUUAAAUCUGGGCUUUAAAAAAAACAAAUAUUUUAAUAAGCCAAUUUUAAAGGCUGAACUUUUAUGACGGUUUUUAAGCUUAGUAUUUAUAUUAAUCUAUUCUCACUGGUGUCUUUAAAAACCCUGUGAAUGCAUGCUGGAAUGUCUGUUUAUGUUUGUGUCUUUUCCUGGGAAAGGAUAAAUGUGCUGCAAAAAGCAAACCAAAUACAGAACUCUCCGCUAGCAGAGAGUUCACAAAUGAGGCAAUAAAAUUCAAAGAAGAGAUGAAUAAGUUACUGUAGCCAAGGACUGGAAAACCAUAAAGGAGAAACAGAAUCUAAGAGAUACAGACAUGGAUGCUUUCAAACGUAAAGGCAAGAUGAAACACUACAAACAGAAACUGAUUAAAAAGAUAUUCCACAUGGUCACCUGAGUCUACACGUGAUAAAAUUGCAUAGCACUAAACACACACACACACACGCACAUGCACGUGCACACACAUGUACACACGAGUGUAUGUAAAACUGGUGAAAUCUGAAUGAGGUCUGGGGACGAUAUUGACGCCAGUUUCCUGAUUAUGAUAAUUGCAAGAUGUCAUCACUGGGAGAAGGGAGUGAAGAUAUGAGAAUCUCUGUAUAAUAUUUCUUGCAACCUCAUGUGAAUCUAUAAUUAUCUCAAAAUUAAAAUAAAAAAGAUAUUCUACAAAAGUAUUAAAUCUAUAUAUUUAGAUAAGCAAAUUAUCUAAGAAAUUACUACUAAGAUUUAUCUCAGAGUAAUAAACUAAAAAUGUGACUUGAGCAAAACUCCACAUAUUUUUUCUGACGCCAUUUGAGGAAUCUCAAUAUAUUUCCAAUAUAUAACUAAUUAGAAGUGGUUCCCUGUAAGUCUUAAAUAAAGAAUAGUAUCCCAGAAAUAUGAAAGGUGAAAUACCAAUUAUAAUAGCAAUACAUUUAUUCCUAUACUAAUAAAGAAAAUAUUUUACACAAAAUUUUGGGAAAUAUCUACCUUAAACUGAUACCUGUGUUAUAUUUGCUUUUUAAGAUACUAAUUUUAUAUUAACUUUCAUUAAGCAUACACACACAAUUCUAAAGCCAAUGAUUUAUAAAAAUUAUUCGCCAAGAAGUAUAGAGAUUGAAGUUUUAGUAUUUGGAGCCAUAAGCAGUGAGAGGGAGAGGAUAUAGCAGAGGAGGGAGGGAGAGAGAGAGAGAGAGAGAGGGAGAGAGGGAGAGAUGGAGAGAGAGAAGGAGAGAGGGAGAGAUGGAGAGAGAGAGAGAGAGAGAGAGAGAGAGAGAAACUCAAACCCUAAGCCCAGUUAUAGUUAUUUUUAAUGAAUAAUUGUUUAGAAACAUAUUUUCUGUUUUUGUUUGGUAGUAACCCUUUGGAUGAGAUUGAGUGAUAUUAAACUAUGCCUUACCUGAAUGCUGAUUUGGAAAUGAGGGCGGUAGCAUUAACAAGGUGAAUUUUAAGCUCUUGUAAACUGAGGCACAGUGUGAUUUCUCUUCAGCGAUUAUUAAUGGUUGUCACUUCGAAAAGAGACUUGGAUCUGAAAUUGGAAAAGCCAACACAUAACUUGAUUCCAGCAUGAGGAAAAUGUUUUAGUGCUUAGUUAAAAAUAGAGUCAUUUUGAACCCAAACGGUAUCUGACGUGCUUCAGAUAUCUGGGCUAUUUCAUCCUCAACUGUGGUGUGAUAAUAUGAUGAUCCUGUGGUGAUGAAGAUGAGAGAGCGCGGCUGCGUGAGCUGAGUGCAGUGUCUGCUUGUCUACCGGGGCUGUCCCUCACUGAGCGGUUUUCUAUCCUAAUAUUGUUUUCCUCUGUUAUUUGACCAGGGAAAGAUUCAGAUGACCCAGCUUCUGUCGAAGCCUCAUGGAGAACUAUAGUUUUACUUCUCAGACCCGAAGAGCAGUGCCUUUAAACUUGGACACAUCUCUCCUUUCUUUAGUUCAGAUUUUCCCUUCACUGAAAUGAAAGACAGGGUUGAACUCAGAAGAGCUUUCGGUUAUCACAUUCGAUUAUCCUGGAAAAUACUCCUGUCUUUUUAGUUCACAUUCUGCCUUAAAAAAAUAGCCAUCAGUAUCUUCUGGGAGGAAAUGGUAAAUUUUGUUAUGUGGUCUGGCAUUAGAGUCCUAAUUCUCACUGUCUAAUUUGACAGACGGUUCACCUCUGUGUCUCUGGAUGUGCAGGUCUGGUGUGCGACUGACGGGAAAGAUUUGGGCAAACCCCUUGAUUUGUAUUAACCCUUCGACCUUGACUAAACAUCAGACCCCACCCUGUGGCUGAGGUCUGUGGUGUGGUCACAGGCAGAGUCUUUCCGGAGCACCAGGCAGAGCAGCUCCCCCCAGGAGGGGUUAGGGCAACUUUUUGGCCUUUUGCUGUGAGAGGGGAGGGUUAGAGAUCCUUUUGCUCUCUUCCCCGUGGAGAAAAAAAUGUUGAAACUUUCGUCGUUACUACUGUUUUUCUGUCGCUAUCCAGACAAAAUGCCACCCUAGCAUUUCUGUUAAAUCUCUGUAAGUAGAUGCCCCUGCUGAAGGGUGGAGAGAUUUUGGCCCGCUUCCGAGGCAGGGGCUCCAUGAGGGACAGCUUGGAGCAUGAACAACCUCCUAAAGGAAAGCACAGGCCAGUCAUGUACAAUCUCGGGCUCUGCUGCCACGGCAGCUUUCUUUGUCUGUUCUACUUUGAAUUAGCAUAUUCUGUAUGUGAAAAUGCAAGCAGGCAGCGUUUUCUUUGAAUCACGAGAUCUACAAGUACCGUUUCCUUUCCUUCAUCUCUGCUCUUUGAGUGGUUCGUGUGGCCGGUGCUCAGAGGGCUCGGAGUGGCAAGCUGGCUGCCUGCGUGGACUCCCUGGACCUGCGACUUGUCCUUUACUUCCACAACUCAGACUUUUAGCUCGGCGGAAGAGUGCACAGGCGCAGCGCAAGCUAGCUAGCCUGCAGGGUUGGCAAAACCUAUACCGACUGGGUCCCUUCCGGAAAGUUUGUGUGAACUUUAAAUCUCAGUCUCAGGGAGACUGUUUUGUCUUGAUACAUAACAGAAUAAGGCAGUUAUCAUUUCUUUGGGAAAUGCCUAAAAUACCGCAAAUUGGAAGGGAAGGGAAAGGAAGGAGGAGAAGGCAUACUCCUCUUUCUCAAAUCGGGCAUCUACACGUCUCUGUUCACAUCAUUGACACCAAUGGGCGAACAGUGUCUUCAUUGAGGAUUAAUUUUCCUGAAAUCAAAUAAUCCCAAAUUGCAUACUACAUAUAUACUGGUUUCUAACUAGUCAACAUCUUCAACAUAUGCCCAGCCGCCUGGCUUUCCUCUCGUUCAUGAUAAUCUGCAUGCGUAGAUGGGAAGCUAGGAGAGAAAGAUGUGAUCAUUUCGCAUUCCUUGUUUUCUGUCUGGUGAACAUUUCUUCUCCAGCAAGUGUUUCCUACCGCUUCCCCCAAACCUGCAUAUACUCUUCUAUAUUCUUUAGUUGAAACAGCAUCUUUUAAAAACAUGAUUAACUGAAGUCCGCUUGAGGUUUCACUUUAUAAAAAAGUAAUAGAGGAAGAACGAGAAGCCCACCAUCAGGUCCCGUGAUAGCUCAGUCACACGUGGAAAUACAGACUGUAAAUACAGAAUGGCCGAGGACCCUCUGAGCAAAGGUCAUCUAGGGGCUCCCGAAGCCUCGUGCGGCCCAUAGAUGUGUGCUCAGCACCCCCGCCUCAGUGUGUGCUUGGCGACUCCCUCUCCUUCGUGGGCUCAUGUUACUAUUUUCUAAAAGUAUUGUUUCACUGAUACCAGAACAGGAGUGCUCCAAACAGAUAUCUGUACCCUAAGAAUCCCAGGGUGCCCUGUUUUUGUUGAUUUCUCUGGUGCAGAAGGACCUGUUUCCACGAUCCCCAAACUCCCUGGGGGCCGUGCGGUGGCUGUGGCAGAGGGGGUGCAUCCAGGACUGGCGUUUUAUGGCCCCCGAGGUAGGGUCAGGAGAGAGCUUAUCUUGAGGUCCCGUCUUGUGUGACUGCGAAGGUGUUAAUAGGCAGGGUCCAGGUGGCCCAUGCGAGCUGGCAGCAUUGGAAGGGUAGAAUUAAUUGAAGGGCAUUUUACUGGGUGUUAAAUUAUUGCUAAUUCCAAAACUUUCUUUCAGACUAUUUUUUUCUGAGAAUAGAGAUUUCCUUCUAAUUAAACAACAGGCAAAAGAUGAGCACGGUUACUCACCUCUCUGCUCGUUUCAGUGUUGCUGUAUGUCAUCUCCUUUCUUGUUUUACUACAGUUCACAAGUGAAUAAUAUCAUGUAAUUUCAGUGUGGAACAAUGUAAUUUCCAUGUGCGUCCCCAGCAACCCUGUGUACAUUAGUCUAUCAUUUAUAAUUUAUAACAUGGAAAAGUUUUUUUUUUAUGAAGGACAAAAUAAAAGAGAAGGUUAGGAUGUGAAUAGGUCAAGUGAUAUAUGAAGAAUUUCACAAGGGAUCAGGGCUACGGAAGGGACUCAGGUCUCUUAAGAAUAGGUCCCAUUCUGUAUUUAUCUUCAGGAUUGUGUUGGGGCCGUGUGCCUCUCUCUGCUGCUGGCCAUGGGAGACCCGGCACCUCUUCCUCAGUGUCCCUCAGAGACAUAGAAGACAGCAGUUUCUCAGAAAAAGCACCCUUCCUGCCGUUCUCAGAAAAACAACACUGUGAAAAUCCAGCAGGGCCCCUCCACACUGCUGCAAUAGUGCCACGAGGGAGGCCGCUGCAGACACAGUCACUUGAAGAGGACCUCAGGUGCCUUCCCUUCCUGUUUGGUCCCAGGCAUCAACACUGCCCAGCAAAGUGUGUCCAAGAAGCCCCAGAGGGGGCCGUGUCUCUGAGGGGCCUGUGACAAUCGCAGGUGAUUCAGAUGCCAGAGAAAGCAGAGGCCCCCAGAGGAAGGUGGUCAGGGGGCCAUCUGCUGUGCCUGGGGUCAAGGACCACUGGAGGGAGCUUGGGUUGGCCUGAGACUGUUCAGGGGAGGGGCACCAUGGGCAUGGUGCCCCUGCAUGACGGGCGGGCCCUCCCAUGAGAGAGGAAGAGGGGAGCAAGAGGAAGGACGCUGCUGGCUGUUUGCAAGUAGCUGUCCCACCACCCUGGCACUUCCCUGGUCCCUGAGGCUGGACGGGCCUUGGAGCCCAUCUUCGCUAAGGCCCAAGUCACCUAUCAGCUCGUGCUGAUGAAUGUCUGAGCAUGAGCCCAGCACGGCUCAGCAUUUGCCAAGGUUAAGGAAAGGAAGUGGUAACUCAGCAUUGAUUUCCUCCCCCUGGAUUUAAUAGCGAUAGAUCUAAACCUGCAGUCAGAUAUCACUUUGAAAGCCUUGGCUCAUCUAAAGACAGCUUCCAAGAGACGAUCAGGCCAGGCCACUGCUGCGGUUUGCAGAGGAAGCAGGACCAGCCCUGUCUUUGCUGAAAGAAGCCAAACGACCAUCUUGUCUGUCUCGUAAAGCAUCCUUCUGCUUGAAUAGCAGAGCUCUUUGAACGGCAAUAAAAUAUUACAUUGAGGCUGGGCGCAGUGGCUCAUGCCUGUCAUCCCAGCAUUUUGGGAGGCCAAGGUGGGUGGAUUACCUGAGGCCAGGAGUUCGAGACCAGCCUGACCAACAUAGUGAAACUCCAUCUCUACUAAAAAUACAAAAAUUAGCCACGUGUGGUGGCACACGGCUGUAAUCCCAGCUACUCAAGAGGUUGAGGCAGGAGAAUCACUUGAACCCAGGAGGCAGAGGUUGCAGUGAGCUGAGAUCGCGCCACUGCACUCCAGCCUGAGCGACAAAGCGAGAUUUCAUCUCAAAACAAACAAACAAACAACAAGCAAACCAACACCAUUACAUUGGGCAGAUGACAGACUUUGUCCUCCCGGCUGGUUCCUCCAAAGCCAACUGGCCUGGGGGUUCUCUGUACCAGGCUCUUGGACAAUCAGCUUGUGUUGUACUGUUUCCUGAAAGUUGCAAAUAUUGUUGAAUGUUAAUUACAUAAUUUCACUUUUUCUAACCAGAAAGAGGAAAAGAGGAAGUGGGGAGGCAGAAAGUGAAGCUGCUGUGCAUUUCUGCCUCCCUGGGCGCAUCCACCGGGCUUUCUCCUACUUGGUUCAUCACAAUGUGAAACCAUAAUUAACUAAUUCUGAGAACUUUUAAAUGCUUGUGACUAUACAUGAUCGGUGUGACUCUCUACAACAGAUUUUGCAAUUAAUUGAAGUCACUGUUUCUGGAAUAAGUCAUAUGGGAUUCUUCCCUUUAGUAAGCUUUUUUGAGGUGGUAUUUUUCUAAUUUGGGAAAUUUUAAUUAGGCAGAAACCAAAGGCUGUUGACUUUGCGAGAGGCAAGCUAGCUCCCCAAGUGACUCUCUUGGUCAGAACCCAUUGUCUUGUGUCUGGGGGAUCCACGGUUCAGAAUAAGACUUGACUGAAGUUAAGUCUUGACUCAAGUUAAGCAGUGGAGAACACUUUUCUGCCCUCAGCCUUGCAGUUUCCCAUGUGGUCCGAGGCAAGUCAUGGCCUCUCUGGGCCUCAGUUUCCCCGUCUGUAAAAUAAUGGACUAAGUUUCUUAUAGCCCUCUGGCUACUAGAAUUCUAAGAGCCAAUAUAACCCUGCAAUUCCACUGCUAGGUAUAUACCCCAAAACACUGAAAACAGUUUUGUUCAAACAAAAACUUGUACAUGAAUGUUCAUAGCAACAUUAUUCACAAUAGUCAAAAGACGGAAACAGCAAAGUGUCCAUGAACUGAGGAUCAGUAAAACGUAGCCCAUUCGUACAAUGGAAUGUAAUUCAGCCAUAAAAACAAAUGAGGUUGGGCACAGUGGCUCACGCCUGUAAUCUCAGCACUUUGGGAGGCUGAGGCGGGUGGAUCACCUGAGGUCAGGAGUUCAAGACCAGCCUGGCCAACAUGGUGAAACCUCAUCUCUACUAAAAAUACAAAAAUUAGCCGGGUGUGGUGGCGGGCGCUUAUAGUUCCAGCUACUCGGGAGGCUGAGUCAGGAGAAUCGCUUGAACCUGGGAGGCAGAGGUUGAAGUGAGCCGAGAUUGCACCACUGCACUCCAGCCUAGGCAACAAGAGCGACACUCCGUCUCAAAAAAAAAAAAAAAAAGUGUAAUAUGUGCUACAGCAUCGAUGAACCUUGAAAACAUUAUGCUAAGCUCAAGAAGCCAGAUGACUACAUAUUGUGAUAUUUGGGAUUUCAUUUAUAUGAAAUGUCCCAAAUAAGCAAAUCCAUACAGGCAGAAAGGAGACUGGAGGCUUCUCGGGCUUCAUGGGAGGGGGUGUCGGGGGUGAGUGCUGAACAGGUGUGGAAUUUCUGUUUGGAAUAAUACAAAACGCUCCAGAACUAGGUAGUGAUGAUGCCUUCACAACAAGGUGUAUGCACUAAAUUCCACUAUGCUUUAAAAGCUCAAAUGAUAAAUUUUAUAUUGUAUGUAUCUUACUACUAUCACCAAAAAAAAAAAAAAUCCUACUUCCCAGACCAUGUGCAUCUCUGGUAACUGAGGUGUUCAGUUGGGGGUGGAGGGGCUAAGGGGCUAAGCGUUCACCCAUCCCUCACUUUUCAGAGAUGUUAUCCAGUUUAUCCUCCUGCUUCAGCACUUAUCCAACUCUUCUAGUUGUGCCUAAGAGCAUUUUCGACAUCUAGUUCCUAAUGUGUUUAUUCACACACACACAUGCAUGCACGCACACGUGUGUCAAACAAUUCUGAGGCACACUGUUUCUUUUGCCUGCCCUCUGCUUUUUGUGACAUGUUGAGUACACCUCUUGAAGCCUCUCCACAGUAGACUGAGUUCUCACCCUCUGGGGGCCGAGGCAGAGAGGGAUUCACGCUAAGCCUCCAUGCUGCUUGCAGUCAGCCUCUAGAUGAGAGCCAGGAGCAUUUGCCAUAUCUGUAGUGGGGGAGUCUGGUACCUGAUGGGAAGACACACAAGGGUGGCCCAUGAGUGCACACCUCUCGCCUCCAUCAGCAGGCUGUCCACAGCCCAGGGCUCGUCUGCCCGCUCGGUGGACCGCUUCAGGCUGGUUCUGGGCUCAGAGGCCCUCAAGGGGUUGGUGCCACCUCCAGAGUCAUGGGAUUCCUGCUCUUCGUGUGUGCAGGUGCUGCUCCCAGAAGACAGGGAGACACCUGGAGACAUCAGGAGGGUGGCACUAACUCGUUCAGCACCAGUUGUGUGUUUUCCUUCGGUUGCUCAUUUUUCUUUUCUUCCUCCCUGAUCUGUGCACCCUUUACAUGCUCCUCAGCCACCUGUGUUUGAGACACUGUCAAAACCGCCCACCCAAGAGGGAUGGGCCAGAGAGCUGCUCUGAGUGCUCCCUCAGCCAUGACCCCAUCCUGUUUCUUUUUAAGACAUCAUCACCUUUGUGGCAUUAUUCAGCCAGAUUUUGAGACACUGAUAGAAGCCCCAGAGAUGGUGUUGGGCUCCAGGAUUGUUUGAAUUUUCAGAAUCCAAACUGAGGGAUCAGGAGAACUUGGAGCAAAUCCCAAAGGAUCUCACCAAGGGUUGAGUUGCCAAAAGCAGACAAAAACUGUUCCGGGCCAGGCGCAGUGGCUCACGCCUGUAAUCCCAGCACUUUGGGAGGCCGAGGCGGGUGGAUCACCUGAGGUCAGGAGUUUGAAACCAGCCUGGCCAACAUGGCGAAACCCCGGUUCUACCAAAAAUACAAAAAUUAGCCGGACGAGGUGGUGGGCACCUGUAAUCCCAGCUACUCGGGAGGCUGAGGCAGGAGAAUCGCUUGAACCUGGGAGGUGGAGGUUGCAGUGAGCCGACAUCGCGCCACUGCCCUCCAGCCUGGGUGACAGAGCAAGACUCCACCUCAAAACAAACAAACAAACAAAAAACUGUUCUGUGUGAUGCUGCUGUUCCCCCAUUCCCAGUCCCAUUGCUGAGCAAAGAGGAAGCCACCAGGGAGGAGGUGCAAAGGGAAAGAGAUUCCCAAAAGCUGCCAAGAGAGAGGACUCCAGAUGGAGAUGGGAGGACUGGCCGCCGGGGCCCUGGCCUCUUCCUUAGUUAAGUUGUGCAGUCGGCUUGACAGGAACAUGGGUCACCCUCAAGCCAGACACAUCUUGGUCUCAUGGCCCCCAUCAGUCACCGCCGCAGGGGUUCUUCCCACAGCUGCCGAGGCGCAGAGCCCAGCUGCUUUGAUUCAUGAGCACGAUAUUCACAUUCGUAGCACAGCACACUUGCUUUUCCUGGGGGAUGCUCUGCUCUCCUUUCCGGCCACUUCUGCUUCGUGGUAACUAAAUUGGAGGCUCUACCAUGUCCAGCCUGUGCUCUGUAUGCCUGGGGGGACACUGGAGCCAGCGCCCAGUGAGUGUAGGGUAACUAGAAAGGGCACCUCCAUCACUGAUUUUCCAACUGACUUUCAGAGACACCAUCUGGAUGCUCUGAGGCAAGUCGGCACCCUUAGGCGCCCGGUGGGGGUAGUGUUCCGCCCUUGUCUCCUCCACUCCUCCUCCCUAUCUCUAUCUCACUAUCCCUGAAGGUGAGACCGUGGUGUCAGAGAAUGCACUGAGUCAGCGUCCCUUUUAGCACACCUGCCACCACCUGACUAACAGCAAAGCCAGGCUUCCUGGUGAAUCCCGUUACAGCCGUCCCGUUUAUCCAUGGUUUCGCUUUUCGAAGUUUCAAUUACAGACAGUCAACCACAGUCCAAAGUUAUUAAAUGGAAAAUUCCAGAAGAAAAAUUGAUACAUUUUAAAUUGCACACCAUUCUGAGUAUCUUGAUGAAAUCUCGAGCUGUCCCGCUCCAUCCCCCCAGUCUCUGGGUCAUCAGACAGAAAACACAUACAGUAUAUAUAGGGUUCCGUACCAUCCUUGGGAUCGAGCAUCCGCUGGGGGUCUUGGUGUGUAUCCCUGUGGAUAAGGGGGCCUACUAUAAUUUCAUCCCACUGAGGUGCCAUGGCCCAGGCCAGCAGGGACAGUCACAGCUGUGGACGGAACACCACAACCACACGUGGACGGAACACAGCGGGACAUCAGGCCAGUGUCUUACAGGUGGCAGUGGUGAACAUCCAGUGAGCUGAAGUGGUGUUUACUAAUGCAGGCCUUUCCGACCAUCUGCUUCCAAAAGCUGACCAUUCCAAGUCCAGCAAUCAUAAAUAAAAUAGCAAAAUAAUAACUCACUAAAUUAAAAUUGUAAACUUUUAUAUACCAAAAAACUAUGACAAUCAAAAAUUUUAGAAGAACCAGGAAGAAAAUAUUUACAAUCUGUUUUGCAAUGGGUUAAUGUUCUUACUAGAAAAAGGGCCUUUAAAAAAUUUAAAAAGACAAUUACCCCAUAUGGGCAAAAAAUAUGAAUUCAUAAAAGGAGAAAUUCAGUUGGUCAAUAAACGCGUGAAGUGUUGAACUUCAACAAUAAUCUAAGGAAUUAGAAAUAAAACAGAAGGAUAUUAUUUUUUAUUAAAUUGGAAAAAAUACAUAAUUAUAAACCCCAGUAUUGAGGAAGGUGGGGGAACCAGGCCAUCCUAUUUGCCAGAGGGAAGAAAAGCUGCACAAGCUUUCUAAAGGAAUUUUGAUGGUAGGUAAGAAAAGAUCUAGGACUGGAAAUACCCUUUGCAUGAACAAUUCCACUUCUAGGAAUUAUCUUAAGUGAAUAAUGGCAGAGCUGCCGAGCAACAAAGAAAUUCAUAUCAGCUUCAUUAAUAUUGGCGACAAAAUUAAAAUGUCCUGGGAAAUAGGUGGGAUAAACUCUGCUUGGUCCAUAUGCUGGAACACUAUGCAGUCAGCAAAUGUGUGUUGUAAGUGGAUGUUUAAUAAAGUGACGGCCAUGAUUGUAGGAUGGAGCAGUUCAUACGAUCUCAGGUUGGAAGAUCAAAGUGUGUGUGUGCAUGCACGGGUGUGUUUGUCUGGAGAGACAGUGGCAAGAAUGAAUGUCUCUGGACCAAAAGUUGAUGAAAGAGCUUCCUUUCCUUCUUAUGUUUUUUUUUUUUUAAUUUCUAGAUUUUCUACAGAUGCCCUGUAUUACUUCUGCAAUUUGAGAACACAAAUCCAGAGGUGCCCAGUGCUUUGUAAAGAUAGUGUGGCAGGCACAUGCUGACCGACCCUCCCUCCAGAGAAGGGCAACUACUCCCAGUCCCAUCAUAAGGUGGUGCAGUGAAAAUACAGCUGCCAUCCACAUAGGAAUGCCCUCACCGCAACCCCCACUCGGUGUUAGGACUUAGGUACUUGCUGAAGUAAUACAAAAGAGUGGCCUUCAGAAUAUAUUUUUGUAUCUUCUGCAAUCUACAUUAAAGAUGCCCGUCCAUCAUUUUCAGAAGAGGCCUUUCGUGUUAGGAUAAUUCAGAAGGAUGCACCCGGAAUGUACCAGCGCGGCUCCCUGAUGGAGCUGGCGACGUCCUUUGGCAGUGAGGGCUGUGCGGUUUCAGCUCUCCUGGCUGGCCUUUACCCGCUGGGCAGUUCCCAAAUGGCGCUUCAUGAUGGGACUGGCGCUCAUCCUCACACUGUUAGUGUUAGCAUCCUCAUUUCUUCUGCCUUUUUUUCACUCCUCUCUACGUAGUUGGGGAUAUCUGUUGUUAACCAUAAACCACUUCAGCUUUGGGGAAGCAAGUGGGAAAAAACCUCAAUGAACCCCUUAGCUGUUCCCCGAACCCAAAUUGAGAAGAGGUGCUUUGACCCCGACUCACUCAGUGGAGCUAGAAAAAGCCCUUUCUUAGCUACUAGAGACGUUUUAUUCACUUUUUACCAGGAUCAAAAAUGAAAACCACGUGUCCCCCUGGCCUUGUAUGAUGAAUGACAAAUGUGUGGGACUGAGGAGAGGUCGGCCGUAGAGUAGGUCUACCCCCUAUCCUGGGGGCAUCCCUGUGUGCCAGCUUCUCCAGAACCUACAGGGAGGAAGCACCAGGCGGCACCUCCCCAGAGGCUGGAGACCAACCAGGCACAGAAUCUCUCAUUUCCUUUCAGAUUCUUCGCCAUAAUCUAAUUUUCGUUAAGCCUGUCUUCCUUUACACCCUGGGCUACAUUUGACGCAUAUUUCUGGCAAAUUCUGGGACCACCUUUGCCAGAUGACCAAAUCCUUUUCGGAGAGAUGACUGAAAUAUUUGUAAGUUUCCAUCAGCAUGGGGGGAAGGGGCUGGAGGUGAGGGGGGACCUCUCGGGCUGUGCCGUGGUAUCCUCUCUUCUCCACAUUACACCCCAAGCACGCGACUGUGAGCGGCGAUCGGGGCCUGAUCCUCAGUUCGAAGACACAGAUGCUCACUGCUGUAGAGACAUAAAGAAACCAAGAGGUUAACUGCCAGGGUUAGUCCCCUCCGCGGGCCUCCUGCAUGAAUCAGAGCCGACUGGGAGCAGGAGUGACUCAGAGCCGUGGCUUUUUGUCCUCUGGCUGUGCAAAUAAACAGAGCAGGAAGGUUUGAAUGGGCCAGGCCUGGAGCAGAGUGCAGGGUUGGAGGCGGCUCCCAGUUCCAAGGCGCGCCCCACCCGGCCCCCAGGCCAGGUCAGCCUGGGGAGGGGAGAACUAAGGGCACCAGGCAGCCCACCCGGCCCGGCCAAGACCAGCAGGACAGGGGCCCAGAGGCUGGUACCCUCCGAGGUGCGGGAGAAGAGGAGGUGGGAGGGUGCGGGGCCGUGGCUUGCUCUGUGGGGACACUGCCCUGGGGUCCACCCUGCCGCGGGGUCCACUUGGUAUAGGCACCCACCAGGCCUGCACCCUACCCUGGGAAACACCUGUGGGGCUGUCCCCUUCUCUGAGCAUCUGUGAGGGGUUUUCCUCUCCUUAGGGACCCCUGGAAGGUCCAGAGUGCAGGGUGUGUGGCCAGGCCAGGCCUGGAGAUCCGCCAGGAGCAGAGAGCUCCGGAAGGCCUGCCGGGAGGACCUGGAGGAUGCAUCUACUGCCAGGCUCGGUGGGCCUGGCCACCCGAGGGGCCUCUUCUCUCCCCCUGCAAACUGACAUAAAGGGUUUGAGAAACGAUGGCAAAGCCACACGGGGUCACUCCACUCGUUGAAAGUCCACCCAGCAAGCAUGCAAGCACUGGGCAAGCAAAAUUAUUUUCAUCCUCAGAAUGGUCCAGUGAGCUGGGUGCUUUCACCCCCAUUUCACAGCAGGGGAAACUGAGGGACCUACGUAACUCCUCAGCUGAGAGCAUAGACAGAGCUGUGGGCAGAGCCAGGAAGCAAACCCAGCCAGUCCAAUUAUCUAAAAAAUGAGAUUUUUCCCUCCAUGCCAAGUAUGGCCCCAUCCUACUGAGUCGGGUCAUUAUGUCAGGGCUCUCUGCUUUAAACGACGGCGCACAGGGACCUCCCCAUGCAGCAGGGAGUACCCCGGAGAGUGAGGGGGGCCUGGAUCCAGCCGGGCACCUGUUGGCGUUCCUACACCCCUGCAGUCUGCUCUCAGGUGCUCCUGUGUUGGGAGCAAGGCCUGAGGCGCUCGUGUCAGGAUUCCCUGCGGGAGAUCGGGUAGCUUCAGCCUGGGCACAGAAGCCUCUGGGUCCAGAAGUGAGCAGAUCAAACCCCUGCCCUACUCACGUCACCCACCUGGCGUCUCCUGGCUUUGGGUGGCCCAGCCACAUGCCUGCAGGUUGAGUCUUUGAAUUUGCAGGGCCAGGGCCAGCUGUGCCAUCUGGUCUUUUGGAACUUUUUUUUUUUUUUGCUGUGGCAUUAGACAGGCAUCCCCUAACCCAGAGAACCCUCACUACCACUGCUCAGAGGUCCCUUUUUAUACGUGGUGCCAGUGAAUACACCAAUUUAGAUGCUCUGUGUAGGUAGGAAGCAAUCCCCACAGUCUGUGCGAUGUCACCUUGUGUGGUGGAAAUGCCAUUCGCUGUGAUGAACCCUUUCCAGUCACUCCACCGUACAGUGCCCCGCCGGGGUCGGAUCGGCCCUUCUUCCUGGUCCCAUCUCCCGGGAUCUGCUGUCCCCUCUUCAGGCCCUUCUUUGUGUGGUUAGCCUGGGGUACCUUUCCCAGUCACUGAUCUGACUCCGUCGCUUAACCUGUUAAUGGAAUAGCAUGGACGAUGCACCCCACACUGCAUCUGGUGUUACUGGGACCCACUGAAUGUAGGUUCCUUUACCCCCAUUUCACCUGCUGCCAGCAGGAUGGCCAGGCCUGCCAGGCACCGCCCAGGUUCCCCAUGGCACGGGCCCUGCCUGCUCUUCUGUGAGCUGCCUCUGAGCCCUGGGCACCCUCCAUGGCGAGCUCCCCAGGCCAGGAGCAUGUCUGUCCUUUUCACCCUGUACCCAGCACUUGGAGCAGUUGCCAGUAAGAACAGGGGUGAGGAGAUGAGCAAACCCACAUGCUUGUUCUUAAAGCAUGGCACCUUCGGCCAGGCACAGUGGCUCACACCUGUAAUCCUGGCACUUUGGGAGGCUGAGGCAGGCAGAUCACGAGGUCAGGAAUUCGAGACCAGCCUGGCCAACAUGGUGAAACCCCGUCUCUGCCAAAAAUAGAAAAAUUAGCUGGGCAUGGUGGUGUGUGCCUGUAAUCCCAGCUACCUGGGAGGCUGUGGCAGGAGAAUUGCUUGAACCCGGGAGGCGGAGGUUGCAGUGAGCUGAGAUCGCGCCACUGUACUCCAGCCUGGGUGACAGAGCGAGACUCCACCAUGGAAAAAAAAAAGAAAAGCACGGCGCCUUCAUGUUCCAUGCCUUCACGCUGCUCUCCCUUGACUGGAAUCUCCCUUGUGCCCGACAGGACUACCUCCAGUGUCCCCUCCUUGGGGAGCCUCUAACCACCCUGCUGGCAUUUGUGGUGACUCCUGAGGCCUCGUAUAUCCCCUAGCGGCCUGGCAGCUGCGACGGUUUGUCUGCCUGUCACCCCGGGAGCACCUUCAGGACUGUGUCCUUGUCAUGUAUCCGGAUGCCCGGCUCAGCCCAUGCCCUGCACAAGUGGGGGUCAUGGAGGGAGCCUCUGUUUCCCCACCAAGUACACCAAGAAACUACACUGUGUCUGAUGCAAA